Molecule: ribosomal RNA, 1926 nt
Filed under: human gut metagenome
Description: bacterial LSU rRNA
Rfam family: Bacterial large subunit ribosomal RNA
Source: RNAcentral
UCAAGCUAUAAAGAGCGUAGGGAGAAUGACUUGGCAUCAGGAGCCGAAGAAGGACGUGACAAGCUGCGAAAAGCUGCGGUUAGGAGCAAAUAUCCAUAGACCCGCAGAUAUCCGAAUGGGGAAACCCGGUACGGCAAUACCGUAUCACUGCAUGGUAAAUACAUAGCCAUGUGGAGGAAACCCUCUGAACUGAAACAUCUAAGUAGGAGGAGGAAGAGAAAGAAACAUCGAUUUCCUAAGUAGCGGCGAGCGAAAGGGAAAGAGGCCAAACCAGAGAUAGCAAUAUCUUUGGGGUUGCGGACUGCGUAAUUGAUUCAAUAUUUUUAGCAGAAGUGUAUGGGAAGACACACCAUAGUAGGUAAUAGUCCUGUAAGCGAAAAGGAUAUUGACAAGGCAGGAUCCAGAGUACCACCGGACACGAGGAACCCGGUGGGAAGCCGGGGGGACCACCCCCCAAGCCUAAAUACUACCUGAUGACCGAUAGUGAAAAGUACAGUGAUGGAAAGUUGAAAAGAACCCCGGAAGGGGAGUGAAAAAGAAUCUGAAACCCUAUGUUUACAAGCUGCUAAAGCACCAUAUGAGUGCGAUAGCGUACUUUUUGUAGAACGGUCCGGCGAGUGUAUGUUGCAAGCGAGGUUAAGGUGUUAAGCACUGAAGCCGAAGGGAGACCGAGUGUGAAUAGCGCGUACAGUUUGCAGUAUACGACCCGAAACCGGGUGACCUAACCAUGGACAGGUUGAAGUGGAAGUAAAAUUCCAUGGAGGACCGAACCCACGUCUGUUGAAAAAGGCGGGGAUGAGCUGUGGUUAGCGGUGAAAUUCCAAUCGAACUCGGAUAUAGCUGGUUCUCAUCGAAAUAGCUUUAGGGCUAGCCUCAGGAUAGUUUAGCGGAGGUAAAGCACUGAAUGGGCUAGGGGGCUUCACGGCUUACCGAACCCUAUCAAACUCUGAAUGCCGCAUAAAUGUUUCCUGGGAGUCAGACUGCGUGAGAUAAGUUUCGUAGUCAAAAGGGAAAGAGCCCAGACCUACAGCUAAGGUCCCUAAAUGAAUUUAAGUGGAAAAGGAUGUGCAGUUGCGUAGACAACUAGGACGUUGGCUUAGAAGCAGCCACUCAUUUAAAGAGUGCGUAAUAGCUCACUAGUCGAGUGAUUGUGCGCCGAAAAUGUAACGGGGCUAAAAUUCAUACCGAAGCUUAGGAAUGAUAGUAAUAUUGUUGGUAGAUGAGCGUUGUGUAAGUCUGCGAAGCUACACCGAAAGGAGUAGUGGAGAUAUCACAAGUGAGAAUGCCGGAAUGAGUAGCGAGAAUUAUGUGAGAAUCAUAAUGGUCGAAAAUCUAAGGUUUCUUGAGGAAGGUUCGUCCGCUCAAGGUAAGCCGGGAGCUAAGGCGAGGCCGAGAGGCGUAGUCGAUGCACAUACGGUAAAAAUUCCGUAGCCACCGAAGUCGUUAAAUACAGGGACACAGGAACAUAGCCCAUCCCCACCGUUGGUUGAGUGGGGCGUAAGGGAGCGAAAAUUAGUAGCGAAGUGGGUGAUUGUACACUGGCGAGAAAAGCUGUAUGAAUUGACAAGGUGCCCGUACCGCAAACCGACACAGGUAGAUGAGGAGAGAAUCCUAAGACCAGCGGGAGAAGUGUUGUUAAGGAACUCGGCAAAAUGACCCCGUAACUUCGGGAUAAGGGGAGCCUACGAGAGUAGGCCGCAGAGAAUAGUCUCAAGCGACUGUUUAGCAAAAACACAGGUCUAUGCUAAAUCGAAAGAUGAUGUAUAUGGGCUGACGCCUGCCCGGUGCUGGAAGGUUAAGGGGAAGUGUUAGAGCAAUCGAAGCACUGAACUUAAGCCCCAGUAAACGGCGGCCGUAACUAUAACGGUCCUAAGGUAGCGAAAUUCCUUGUCAGGUAAGUUCUGACCCGCACGAAUGGCGUAACGA